Molecule: long non-coding RNA, 1773 nt
Organism: Equus asinus (donkey)
Lineage: Eukaryota; Metazoa; Chordata; Mammalia; Perissodactyla; Equidae
Source: Ensembl
AUUGUCUGAACCUAAGCUUGCUAUCCCUGUUCAGCCAACAUACAGCAGAAAAAUAUGCUAGCAACUAGGCUCGAGCAGGAGAGACGAGAAAGAGCCAUCAUUUGUAAGCGAAGAGGUCUGAGCUUCUAUUUACUGUGUGACCUAGAUAAGUCACACUUAAUCUCUGAGAGGCUGCAUCUGCAAAAUGGAAAUGAAAAUCCGUGCUCUGUCCAUCUCAGAGGUUGGGGUGACAAUCAAACACAAGUGCUCAAGAGUAUUUUGAAUGCUCCAAAGUGCCCCGUGAAAGCAAAGUGUUAUGUGUCUGAUAAGGGAGGCAGAAAGCAUUCUCACUCUCUUGCAACAAAUCUUUGAUUGUGCACACUGGAUAUAUACAUCCUGAGAAUUAACUUGUGGGAGAACAGGAAUUUUGCAAGCAGAGAACAAUUGUGACGCAAAUGAUUAAUCUGGAUGAUAGCAAUUAACCUGUUGGCCAAUUAUGAAAGAGCAGGUGCUGCUCAUGUGAUCAUUGCCUCACUUCAGGCCAUGAAGGCUUCUAGAACACGUGGGCUCUGUGAGCUGCCAAACAGGAUCCAGAGCCAAGAAGGCACCUGUCAGAAAAGGUUGGCAAAGCAAGGGCAGUUUCGUCUCUUGCUGAGAAAGAGUGUAUCCAAGGCUGUACUUUGAACAGGCUGACCAUAGGAAAUCAUUGUAAGAAUGUGACUUACAAAAUCUGCCAUUUCUGAAGAAACAUCAUUGGUAUCUUGAAGCGUCAGGGAAAAAUUGCUGAUAAUCAUUGAGCAAGAACAACGUGACUUAUGGCCCACGGAACACGCAUUGUACGUCUGCUUCUAAUAUUUCUCAAAGCAAAGAAUGCACCUUUUAAACAUAGAGAUGAAUGUCUCCCCUUCUCUGAUGCCAAUAUCAGUAUUUCUUUGAAGAUAAGCUUUUCUGCCAAGAGAACCAGGGUCAAGUUGACCUGCUGUCUGCUCCUGCUGCUAUUUGCUCUCAUCACAGUUCAUAGGAGAACCUGGAGCUUCUGUGAUGCCUGCUGGCUCCUCCCUCCACUCCUGCUCUUUGUGUCUACAACCAGCCUUGAACCUCUCCUCACUCUCUCUCUCAAUGUUUUAUUACAGGGAAACUGACAGCCAGAGAAUAUCAAGAAGCCGAAGCUUCCCAGACCCCAACUCCUUGGCUUCCUGGCACCGGAAUCCACCAUCCACCUUGGAGGCAGACAACCAAGGACACCCACGCAGCCUCCUUCCUGCAAGCAGCCUUAGAGGCCAAAUGACAAGGCCAAACGCAGGCUGGUAGGAAAGUGCUGACCAGCAAGGCCGCAUGCUCCCUCUCCCCUAACUGAAACCUCAAAUAAAAACUCCUACCUUUGUUCCUUUGAGGCAGUGGAUCUGAGUUCUAACUAACUCCCAUCUCCUCAUCUGGCUACCUUUUGAUAAAACUCUUUUCUUGCCAUAAGCCUGGUGUUCCCAUUUUUCUUUUGGUCUGUCUCUUGUGUGGCAUGUAAAAGAAACUGUGUUUGUGGCCGGUAACAAAACUAACUUUGUCAUUCAAUUGCUUUCUGGAAAUAAAACCACUUAGAUAAAACCCAAGGGAAAAAAAAGCAUAACACAAACCCUUGACACACUUCUCAUAUUACUACUACAUGAAAGACUACAGAUUUCUUAAUGCUUUCCUCUUGAGUGUACAUAUUACUUUCAGAGAAAUAUUUUCAAAUAUUUAGUUAAUAUAGAGUACAUGCACUGUGCCAGGUACUGGGGAUACAAAGAUAAAUCCAUUCUU